Geobacillus sp. Y4.1MC1 is the source of this 135-nucleotide non-coding RNA. The record is from Rfam. Lineage: Bacteria; Bacillati; Bacillota; Bacilli; Caryophanales; Anoxybacillaceae.
UGCAUCCUUCGGGGCAGGGUGAAAUUCCCGACCGGCGGUGAUGAAGUGGUGUCACUUCUCAGCCCGCGAGCCGUAUAGGCACGAUCCGGUGAAAUUCCGGAGCCGACAGUAUAGUCUGGAUGGGAGAAGGAUCAC